RNAcentral lists this ribosomal RNA (389 nucleotides) under Syndiniales sp. RNAcentral's name for it is "partial small subunit ribosomal RNA". It matches the Rfam family "Eukaryotic small subunit ribosomal RNA", at positions 582 to 975 of the family's 1831-position model. Lineage: Eukaryota; Dinophyceae; Syndiniales. The record is from RNAcentral.
AUUCCAGCUCCAAUAGCGUAUAUUAAAGUUGUUGCGGUUAAAAAGCUCGUAGUUGGAGUUCUGCCAGGUGGCGCUCGUCCGCCCAAGUGGUGUGUACAGGGCGUGCAUCUGGCCCUUUCAAGGGGAGCGUAUUUGCACUUAAUUGUGUGGUGCGGGAUCCUUGACUUUUACUUUGAGGAAAUAAGAGUGUUCCAAGCAGGCUCUCGUCGUGCAUAGCUCAGCAUGGAAUAAUAGCAUUGGACCUCGAUUCUAAGCUGUUGGUUGCCAGAAGCGAGGUAAUGAUUAAUAGGGACAGUCGGGGGCAUUUGUAUUCAAACGACAGAGGUGAAAUUCUUGGACCGUUUGAAGACAAACUACUGCGAAAGCGUUUGCCAAGAAUGUUUUCAUCA